This 281-nucleotide long non-coding RNA is filed under the name Marmota monax (woodchuck). Lineage: Eukaryota; Metazoa; Chordata; Mammalia; Rodentia; Sciuridae. The record is from RNAcentral.
AGAAACUGGAUUGGUUGAAAAGAAUGUCGACACCCUCUGUCGGUUGGGUGAAAGGCUUAAACAGCAACAAACGACCCCUGGCCAGGCUGGCUAAACUCUGCCCUCAUUACGUGGCUGACUCCCAUUCUCACUCCUAUGUUAGUAAUAGGAUUUCUAUUAAUGAUUGCUCCCUGCCUCCUCAGGUUAGCUUGAGUGAAAUUGCCAGAGUGACCUACAACCAGAUGCUCCUACACCCCUACAGUCGCCUCCCCAAGGAACCAACACCAGAGCCACCCCCUUCC